RNAcentral lists this long non-coding RNA (263 nucleotides) under Elaeis guineensis (African oil palm). Its description in RNAcentral is "long non-coding RNA (EGUI_LNC002114)". The record is from RNAcentral. Lineage: Eukaryota; Viridiplantae; Streptophyta; Magnoliopsida; Arecales; Arecaceae.
CUACUACACUUGUAAUUCUAACCAUAGCUAGAGCUAGCUCGGAUUUCCAUCCUAACUUCAGCUCAGCUCGUGCCUUGCUUGAAGCACAACAUAGGCUAAGUAUUCAUCUGGGCUUUAUUCUAAUCAAGUUUUAUAGUUAUAGCCAAAGGCCGAGCAUAUGUUAAAGACUUUGAUUUACAUAUUUAAAAGUAUGAUUCUUAUUAAUCAAAAGAAGAGGAUUACAUCUGUUUCUGUGGAGAUUCUAUUACAAGAUCAGGGACCUC